RNAcentral lists this ribosomal RNA (244 nucleotides) under uncultured bacterium. RNAcentral describes it as "partial 16S ribosomal RNA". It matches the Rfam family "Bacterial small subunit ribosomal RNA", at positions 524 to 766 of the family's 1533-position model. The record is from RNAcentral.
GACAGAGGCCUCGAGCGUUAGGCGGAAUCACUGGGCUUAAAGCGUGUGUAGGCGGGCCCGUAAGUGUCUUGUGAAAUCCCACGGCUCAACCGUGGAACUGCUGGGCAUACUGCGGGUCUUGGGCCAACUAGGGGCAGCCGGAACAAGCGGUGGAGCGGUGAAAUGCGUAGAUAUCGCUUGGAACGCCGAAGGUGAAAACAGGCUGCUGGGGUUGCGCCGACGCGUGAGACACGAAAGCCCAGGG